AACGUUCGUAGUUGAAUUUGUGUCCCACACGGGUAAUGCACCCAAGUGCGGGUUUUGCAUUACUUGUUGCACUGUGCGUUCUGUGUAAAAGCAAGCGUAUAGUGUGACUUUAAGUGUGACGGAUGUUUUACCGGUGAGGGAAACGACUAAUUAUGCCCCUAUAUUGACUUUCGAGUUUGAUAUAGGUAAAGCAUAUUAAUACGCCCCUUAUGUUAAAAGACCCAUUUUAGUGCUCUUUACCGAGUGCUAUUGUGGGCCGGUACAAUUACUUUGAACAAAUUAGAGUGCUUAAAGCAGGCUAAAUUUAAUGAAAAUUAAAACGCCUGAAUAUAUUUUGCAUGGAAUAAUGGAAUAUGACCUCUGGUCUAUUUGAUUGGUUUUUAGAUGCCAAGAGGUAAUGAUUAAUAGAAGCAGUUGGGGGCAUUAGUAUUACGAGGCGAGAGGUGAAAUUCGUAGACCCUCGUAAGACUGACUUAAGCGAAAGCAUUUGCCAAGGAUGUUUUCAUUAAUCAAGAACGAAAGUUAGAGGAUCGAAGGCGAUCAGAUACCGCCCUAG
Molecule: ribosomal RNA, 556 nt
Filed under: Phlebotomus papatasi
Lineage: Eukaryota; Metazoa; Arthropoda; Insecta; Diptera; Psychodidae
Description: SSU rRNA
Rfam family: Eukaryotic small subunit ribosomal RNA
Source: RNAcentral